RNAcentral lists this ribosomal RNA (408 nucleotides) under uncultured bacterium. RNAcentral describes it as "partial 16S ribosomal RNA". It matches the Rfam family "Bacterial small subunit ribosomal RNA", at positions 28 to 526 of the family's 1533-position model. The record is from RNAcentral.
GACGAACGCUGGCGGCGGGCUUAACACAUGCAAGUCGAACGAAGUGGCGAACGGGUGAGUAAUACGAGGGUAACCUGCACUCCUGUUUGGGAUAAGCCUUGGAAACGGGGUCUAACACAGAAUAAAGGGGGAUGGGCUCGGGGCCUAUCAGCUUGUUGGUGGGGUGAUGGCAUAACAAGGCGGUGACGGGUAGCCGGCCUGAGAGGGUUAACGGCCACAUGGGGACGGACAUACGGCCCAGGUGCCUACGGGAUGCAGAAGUUUGGGAUAUUGCCCAAUGGGCGAACGCACGAUGCCGCGACGCCGCGGGGGGGAUGCGGGCUUUCGGGUUGUAAACCUCGGUCGCUAUCGAACGGUUAGGUGGAGAAGAAGCGCCGGCUAACUACGUGCCAGCAGCCGCGGUAAUAC